Molecule: small RNA, 28 nt
Filed under: Bombyx mori (domestic silkworm)
Lineage: Eukaryota; Metazoa; Arthropoda; Insecta; Lepidoptera; Bombycidae
Description: ovarian small RNA-4556
Source: RNAcentral
AGGAAUGUCACUAUGCAGCAGGCAGCCA